Molecule: small nuclear RNA, 24 nt
Filed under: Arabidopsis thaliana (thale cress)
Lineage: Eukaryota; Viridiplantae; Streptophyta; Magnoliopsida; Brassicales; Brassicaceae
Description: snRNA_05980
Source: RNAcentral
AACAAAAGACUGAUAUAUCCUCAU